Molecule: non-coding RNA, 351 nt
Organism: Cinara cedri
Lineage: Eukaryota; Metazoa; Arthropoda; Insecta; Hemiptera; Aphididae
Source: the annotation of a GenBank genome assembly
UCCAUUCCGACAUUUACGGCACACGCAUACGCUAUCGCGUCGUACUUGGAUCGCGUUCCUAUCCAGUAUAACAGUAGGGCAUACAAUUAUCAAGGUGAUCCGUAUUUAUCGCGAACCGUCAAUUUUCACGUGGGAUAUUAAGCGGAUUAGAUUUUUGCGGGUUUUUUCUCUCGUUCGUUACGGAAUCGGCUGUGAGUACACUACUCGCUACUUUUCUCAAACGAGUGUAGCUAUCGACGUAACGGAUUCUGAGCGACGACGACAUUGGCACUUAGUAACGUAAAGAGGCCAAGCUGCGCGGGUGUAUAAAAGAAUCAGGGUGUAUACAUGCUCGAUCUGAUGGGAAAUUUU